Cricetulus griseus (Chinese hamster) is the source of this 72-nucleotide non-coding RNA. The record is from Rfam. Lineage: Eukaryota; Metazoa; Chordata; Mammalia; Rodentia; Cricetidae.
UUAUGUGUAGCUCAGUUGUAGGGCUCUUGCCUGGUGUGUGCAAGGUCCUGGGUUUGAUUCCCAGCACACACA